RNAcentral lists this transfer RNA (73 nucleotides) under Actinomycetota bacterium. RNAcentral describes it as "Actinobacteria bacterium tRNA-His". It matches the Rfam family "tRNA". From Rfam's summary of the family: Transfer RNA (tRNA) molecules are approximately 80 nucleotides in length. Their secondary structure includes four short double-helical elements and three loops (D, anti-codon, and T loops). The record is from RNAcentral. Lineage: Bacteria; Bacillati; Actinomycetota.
GAGGCGGUAGCUCAGUUGGUAGAGCCCCGGGUUGUGGUCCCGGUGGUCGUGGGUUCGAGCCCCAUUCGCCUCC